Molecule: non-coding RNA, 73 nt
Organism: Leucoraja erinaceus (little skate)
Lineage: Eukaryota; Metazoa; Chordata; Chondrichthyes; Rajiformes; Rajidae
Source: the annotation of a RefSeq genome assembly
GGGCCAGUGGCGCAAUGGAUAACGCGUCUGACUACGAAUCAGAAGAUUGUAGGUUCGAAUCCUACCUGGCUCG